RNAcentral lists this ribosomal RNA (476 nucleotides) under uncultured bacterium. RNAcentral's name for it is "partial 16S ribosomal RNA". It matches the Rfam family "Bacterial small subunit ribosomal RNA", at positions 28 to 523 of the family's 1533-position model. The record is from RNAcentral.
GAUGAACGCUGGCGGCGUGCUUAACACAUGCAAGUCGAGCGAGUGAGUUCUUCGGAACGAUCUAGCGGCGGACGGGUGAGUAACACGUGGGCAACCUGCCUCAUAGAGGGGAAUAGCCUCCCGAAAGGGAGAUUAAUACCGCAUAAAAUUAUCGAGUGGCAUCACAUGAUAAUCAAAGGAGUAAUCCGCUAUGAGAUGGGCCCGCGGCGCAUUAGCGAGUUGGUGAGGUAACGGCCCACCAAGGCGACGAUGCGUAGCCGACCUGAGAGGGUGAUCGGCCACAUUGGGACUGAGACACGGCCCAGACUCCUACGGGAGGCAGCAGUGGGGAAUAUUGCACAAUGGGGGAAACCCUGAUGCAGCAACGCCGCGUGAGUGAUGAAGGUCUUCGGAUUGUAAAGCUCUGUCUUUGGGGACGAUAAUGACGGUACCCAAGGAGGAAGCCACGGCUAACUACGUGCCAGCAGCCGCUGUAA